This 246-nucleotide ribosomal RNA is filed under the name uncultured bacterium. RNAcentral's name for it is "partial 16S ribosomal RNA". It matches the Rfam family "Bacterial small subunit ribosomal RNA", at positions 100 to 348 of the family's 1533-position model. The record is from RNAcentral.
GGGAUGCGUAACACGUAUGCAAUCUGCCUCGUACUUGGGCAUAACUCCGAGAAAUCCGGUGCUAAUUCCCAAUAACACUAUGAAGUGGCAUCUCUUUAUAGUUAAAGCUCCGGCGGUACGAGAUGAGCAUGCGCCCAAUUAGCUAGUUGGUGAGGUAAUGGCUCACCAAGGCUACGAUUGGUAGGGGUUCUGAGAGGAUGAUCCCCCAUACUGGUACUGAGACACGGACCAGACUCCUACGGGAGG